CACGUAGGGGGCGAGCGUUGUCCGGAUUUAUUGGGCGUAAAGAGCUCGUAGGCGGCUCAGUAAGUCGGGUGUGAAAACUCCAGGCUCAACCUGGAGACGCCACCUGAUACUGCUGUGGCUAGAGUCCGGUAGGGGAGCAUGGAAUUCCUGGUGUAGCGGUGAAAUGCGCAGAUAUCAGGAGGAACACCAGUGGCGAAGGCGGUGCUCUGGGCCGGAACUGACGCUGAGGAGCGAAAGCGUGGGUAGCAAACAGG
Molecule: ribosomal RNA, 254 nt
Filed under: uncultured bacterium
Lineage: Bacteria
Description: partial 16S ribosomal RNA
Rfam family: Bacterial small subunit ribosomal RNA
Source: RNAcentral